This 145-nucleotide ribosomal RNA is filed under the name Metazoa environmental sample. RNAcentral describes it as "partial small subunit ribosomal RNA". It matches the Rfam family "Eukaryotic small subunit ribosomal RNA", at positions 1295 to 1461 of the family's 1831-position model. Lineage: Eukaryota; Metazoa. The record is from RNAcentral.
UAGUUGGUGGAGCGAUUUGUCUGGUUAAUUCCGAUAACGAACGAGACUCUAGCCUAUUAACUAGUUCAACCGUACAUGCUGGCGGUUGUCAACUUCUUAGAGGGACAAGUGGCGUUUAGCCACGCGAGAUUGAGCAAUAACAGGU